Molecule: long non-coding RNA, 994 nt
Filed under: Homo sapiens (human)
Lineage: Eukaryota; Metazoa; Chordata; Mammalia; Primates; Hominidae
Description: non-protein coding lnc-METTL26-2:1
Source: RNAcentral
GUCCCAGGCUCCACACGGCUGCAAGAUGCAGCUCCCUCGAGGCCACCACUCUUAGGCUAGGCGGGACCCAGGCUGAGGGGCUUCACACACUACCCACGUCCCACCGGGCCCUUCCGUGAGGCUGCCCCGCGGGCCGCCCUGGCAUCAGCCGCCCCAGGGCUCUGGAUAUGCCACUUGGCCCCGUGGCACCCUGUGCAGCCAGGAGCCAGGGCGGCUGACAGCAGAGCCCCGGGGACUGGGCCUUCCCCGCCCCAGCAUCCAGGCGAGGCUCUCCCGGAGUUGGGAGAGCGUGCCCACAGCAUCACCUGCCUCCAGGAGCACCGAGGAGAAGUCCAGGGGCCAGAGCCGCAAGAAGCCGUCCUCAGAGCCCACAGCACACAUGGCCGGGGAGACGCUGAGGCUGCUGAUGGCAAUGCCGGGGCCUGGGGGCAGGGAGGCGUCAGUGCCUCGGUGUCCCUGCCACCCUGGCCACGUGGUGGGCGCCCUCUUACCUGAGCUGAAGGUCUGCUUCUGUGGGUGGGGACCGCCUGGAGUCCGUGUGGGGAGCAGGCGGCGGGCAUGCCGCACGACCAUGCGCUGACAGUCAAUCUCCAAGAUGUGGCCACUGCGGCUGCACACGAAGCUGCCCGAGGAGGCGGCAGGGAAGUCCACGGGGCAGGAACGCAGCACCCCGCCACGCAGCCGCCAGAGCCGCACACUGCCCUGCCCGCACGACGCCAUCCUGCAAGGAAUGAGGACUGAGCACUGCCGCAGCUCGCAGCGCCCUGACCCACCGGGAGACGCAGAGACGCACAGCCAAGCCAGGGGGAGGUGCUCGGGCCUCGGCCCCCACUCCGGGCCCAGACCCUCUCCCAACAUCGUGGAUGGGCGGCUGCAUCACCUGGUUUCAUCAAAAAAGGUGACCCGGAAGGCCUGGACGUCAAAGUCAGUGUGCGCCUUUGCCAGAACGACCACCUCGCCACCGAGGCCCACCUGGCCGGUGCCCCAGGCCACC